GUUAGCGGCGGACGGGUGAGUAACGCGUGGGAACGUGCCCUUUUCUACGGAAUAGCCUCGGGAAACUGAGAGUAAUACCGUAUACGCCCUUUUGGGGAAAGAUUUAUCGGAGAAGGAUCGGCCCGCGUUGGAUUAGGUAGUUGGUGGGGUAAUGGCCUACCAAGCCGACGAUCCAUAGCUGGUUUGAGAGGAUGAUCAGCCACACUGGGACUGAGACACGGCCCAG
This 226-nucleotide ribosomal RNA is filed under the name uncultured Rhodobacterales bacterium. RNAcentral's name for it is "partial 16S ribosomal RNA". It matches the Rfam family "Bacterial small subunit ribosomal RNA", at positions 91 to 334 of the family's 1533-position model. Lineage: Bacteria; Pseudomonadati; Pseudomonadota; Alphaproteobacteria; Rhodobacterales. The record is from RNAcentral.